GAGUUUGAUCUUGGCUCAGAUUGAACGCUGGCGGCAGGCCUAACACAUGCAAGUCGAGCGGAUGACGGGAGCUUGCUCCUUGAUUCAGCGGCGGACGGGUGAGUAAUGCCUAGGAAUCUGCCUGGUAGUGGGGGGACAACGUUUCGAAAGGAACGCUAAUACCGCAUACGUCCUACGGGAGAAAGCAGGGGACCUUCGGGCCUUGCGCUAUCAGAUGAGCCUAGGUCGGAUUAGCUAGUUGGUGGGGUAAUGGCUCACCAAGGCGACGAUCCGUAACUGGUCUGAGAGGAUGAUCAGUCACACUGGAACUGAGACACGGUCCAGACUCCUACGGAGGCAGCAGUGGGAAUAUUGGACAAUGGGCGAAAGCCUGAUCCAGCCAUGCCGCGUGUGUGAAGAAGGUCUUCGGA
This 410-nucleotide ribosomal RNA is filed under the name bacterium enrichment culture clone ALO1_GLFRUDD03HGY4K. Its description in RNAcentral is "bacterial SSU rRNA". It matches the Rfam family "Bacterial small subunit ribosomal RNA", at positions 9 to 422 of the family's 1533-position model. The record is from RNAcentral.